This 506-nucleotide ribosomal RNA is filed under the name uncultured bacterium. RNAcentral describes it as "partial 16S ribosomal RNA". It matches the Rfam family "Bacterial small subunit ribosomal RNA", at positions 29 to 523 of the family's 1533-position model. The record is from RNAcentral.
AGUGAACGCUGGCGGUAGGCCUAACACAUGCAAGUCGAACGGCAGCACAGGAGAGCUUGCUCUCUGGGUGGCGAGUGGCGGACGGGUGAGGAAUACAUCGGAAUCUACUUUUUCGUGGGGGAUAACGUAGGGAAACUUACGCUAAUACCGCAUACGACCUACGGGUGAAAGCAGGGGACCUUCGGGCCUUGCGCGAUUGAAUGAGCCGAUGUCGGAUUAGCUAGUUGGCGGGGUAAAGGCCCACCAAGGCGACGAUCCGUAGCUGGUCUGAGAGGAUGAUCAGCCACACUGGAACUGAGACACGGUCCAGACUCCUACGGGAGGCAGCAGUGGGGAAUAUUGGACAAUGGGCGCAAGCCUGAUCCAGCCAUACCGCGUGGGUGAAGAAGGCCUUCGGGUUGUAAAGCCCUUUUGUUGGGAAAGAAAUCCAGCUGGCUAAUACCCUGGGGUCAUGACGGUACCGUAAGAAUAAGCACCGGCUAACUUCGUGCCAGCAGCCGCCGUAA